CUGGGAGUUUAAAACAACUUAGAUAAGUGUUCCUUUUCUUUCCAUACCCAGAAUGAGGGCUUUAGAUUUCAUAUUAGAUUUUACAUACGUUACAUUAGUUCAAGAACACGAUCAUUAUACAUAACGAGGUCCAAUACCAUGCUUCUUUCUCCGUAUCAAAUGUCUGAAAAGCAGCCGUUUGAGAGAUGAAGCACAUUGGACAGAUUCCUUUCCUCUUUACAACAGUCUGACCUGUAAACAUUUAACAGGUUGACAUUUCUCAGUAAAUUAAAUAACCAUCUUGUACAGUUAACAUUUAGAUUCCUCUGUCACUUUUAGGUUAUUUCUUGUCUUUACAUUGAUCCCCUAUUCAUUAUCAAUUGAUAAAUCUCUUGCAAAACAAGCAUUAAAACAACCAAAAAAAAACAUUUACAUUAGUGCAUUGUACCAUGACCUCCACAUGCAAAUCAAUCAUUCUAAAGUGCAGUAAGGACAAGACAAUUCAUGACCAAUAAUGAUUAGGAAGUAAUAUAACUUGUCCUCAACGACUGAAAAACAGGUCUUAUGAAGCGUAUUGUACAGUUAAAACUUCCACUUACAACUUAAGAAGAAAAUGUGUUUCACAGACCUUUCAUUAUCCACUGAUGAUCCCUUUCAAAAAGCUUUAUCGUUAUUUAAUAAAAAAAUUAAAAAUUAAAUACACAAAAAUGUCCCUUUAAAAACCAGAGCAUCGUACUCAUAUCAUGCACUCCACACGCAAAUCUAUAAUUAUAAAGUGCUGUAAGGACCCUGCGAUGCUUUUCAUACCGAGGUUCCUUCAAGUGGACCCACCAUAUAACUAGGUACAUCUACGAUCAGAGUCUACAAGUGGACCCACCAUAUAACUAGGUACAUCUACAAUCAGAGUCUACAAGUGGACCCACCAUAUAGCUAGGUACAUCUACGAUCAGAGUCUACAAGUGG
Molecule: long non-coding RNA, 942 nt
Filed under: Salmo salar (Atlantic salmon)
Lineage: Eukaryota; Metazoa; Chordata; Actinopteri; Salmoniformes; Salmonidae
Description: lncRNA (ENSSSAG00000111065.1)
Source: RNAcentral